AUACGUAGGGGGCGAGCGUUGUCCGGAAUGAUUGGGCGUAAAGGGCGCGUAGGCGGCUUUGCAAGUCAGUAGUGGAAGUCCAUUUUUCAAGGAUGGAAGUGCUACAGAAACUGCGGAGCUUGAGUGCAGGAGAGGUUAUCGGAAUUCCCGGUGUAGCGGUGAAAUGCGUAGAGAUCGGGAGGAACAGCAGUGGCGAAGGCGGGUAACUGGACGAUAACUGACGCUGAGGCGCGAAAGCGUGGGGAGCAAACAGGAUUAGAUACCCUGGUAGUCCACGCCGUAAACGAUGGAUACUAGGUGUGGGGGGUCUGACCCCCUCCGUGCCGCAGCUAACGCAAUAAGUAUCCCACCUGGGGAGUACGAUCGCAAGGUUGAAACUCAAAUGAAUUGACGGGG
Molecule: ribosomal RNA, 396 nt
Filed under: uncultured bacterium
Lineage: Bacteria
Description: partial 16S ribosomal RNA
Rfam family: Bacterial small subunit ribosomal RNA
Source: RNAcentral